Small nucleolar RNA from Suncus etruscus (white-toothed pygmy shrew), 124 nucleotides. RefSeq annotates it as small nucleolar RNA SNORA11. The transcript has a single exon. NCBI's taxonomy places the organism in Eukaryota, Metazoa, Chordata, Mammalia, Eulipotyphla, Soricidae. The record is from RefSeq and is a predicted model, not a curated record.
GAAGUGUGCUCAGAGCAGAAGGCCUGAGGAAAUGUUUCUUCCACUUAUAAUACAUCCAACAUAAAUCUGAGUUGUUUAUAAGGGGCAAAAAUUGUGGUCUUCUAUAAAGAAGUACCCUACACAU